RNAcentral lists this long non-coding RNA (14847 nucleotides) under Gossypium barbadense (sea-island cotton). RNAcentral's name for it is "long non-coding RNA (GBAR_LNC002745)". The record is from RNAcentral. Lineage: Eukaryota; Viridiplantae; Streptophyta; Magnoliopsida; Malvales; Malvaceae.
UAAUAUUUUAAAAAAUAAAAUUUUUUAUUUUAAUUAAUGAUUUUAACACAUUUAUAAUUAGGCACCAAGAAAAAAAAAGUAUCUUUUCGGAGAGGUCAAAAAGUAAUUAAGCACUAAAAGUGCUUUUCAGAGAGGAAAAGCUAAAAAUUUUAAGUUCUCUAUUUCAAAAGUGCUUUUGAUUUUGAAAAGUCAAAAAUUUCAGCUGUAGGACCAAAUUUAUGCCCAGGCCCAAAGCUCCCAAACCCAAGACCCAUUUACAUCUAAAAUACAGGCCCAAAAAUAAACCCAAACAAGGCCCAAACAAACAGAAACCUAAAGCUGUUGCUUGAGCCCUCGCGCCGCACGCCUCUCACCAGCGUCCCACUCCACCAUCCACCGUACCUUCGAGACGUGCGCUACCAGCAAUCCCUCUUUGUCACGCCUCGUGCUUCCGAGAUAUCCGCAACAACACCUGUAACAGGAAGCAAACAGAUAGCAACCAAUAGAAGAUUUUAUUUGUUUUUCUAGGCUAUAAAAGCCAUUCUAAACAAUGUAAAAGGGUCGGUUUUUUUUACUACAAAAAUCAGAGAGAAAUAUACGAAAACAGCAAGUUUUGAGUAAAAGCUUUCAUACAUUCGAAUAGAAUAAGGUGGUUACAAUCUUUUCUUUUAGUUUUUUAAUCUUUAGAGCUUUUUGUGGAUCUAUCUUGUAUUUUUGAAAAACAGAGUUUAAAAAAAUAAAAAGAUUUUAGGAGGGCCUUACCUGGUUUCCGAUGGUCGCCGAUGAGCGCGGAGGGGAGGGGAAGCGCUGCGAUGAUGGGCGUUGCGCCCUAGCAGAAGGAGAAAGGGGGCCGAACCCCUUGGUUUUCUUUUUUGAAUUCGGCAAAAUGGGAUUAAAGAAAUGAGGGGGGGUUCUUUAAUUAUAGUGUUAAUGGCAGACAGCCAACUUUUUUGGUUUUAAUUACAAAGAGAGUGGACCAUUUAAUUUUGGGGGGGGGGCUUAUGGCGUACCUAGUCCUUCGUUUGCGUGUGGCCACUAGAUUGGGUCCUUUUAUGCUACUUUUUUGUUUUUUCAAAAUUGGCCCCAAAUAUUUGCACACCUCUUUGUUUUAGUCCUGUAUUAAAUGCUGUACAUUGGGCAAAAGAGAAUUUUCCAUUUUGGUCCCCCUAGUUCACAUGCGCGUCCAACGUGGUCCCCCUAACCGUUUUUAAUUCCUAUUUUGGCCCCAAAACUCCCAUUUUAAUUUCAAUUAAGCCCCAUUUUGAUUAUUUAAAUACUUUUAACAUAAAAUUAAUUGUUUUUUGUUUGUAAUAUUUAUUAUUUUUAUUCUAUUAUAUCCUACUGUUUUUUUAGUUUUUUUCUAUCCCACUAUUUAUUAUACUGUUUUUAUACUAUUACCUAUUAUACUUAUUAUAUUUUAAAAGUAAAACUAAUUAUUUUAUGUAUAAAUUUUUAUUAUAUUUAUUAUAUUAUCUGUUAUAUUAGUUUUUUUUUUAAAAUUAUUUUUUGUACUCUUUAUCUUAAAUAUUAUAUAUAUUAUUAAAGGUUAAUAAUUUUAAAUAUAGAUUGCUAUACUUACUAUAUUUUGCUUGUUAUACUUUAUUUAUUUUUUACUAUUUACUACUACUACUUUAUUAUUAUUAUUAUUUAUAACUUUUUAUAUUUUUUUUUCACUAAAGUUUUUUUCAAAUGUUCUUAUCGGUCACUAUUUUUUUACUAAACUAUUAUUAUUUAUUAUUUUACACUACUACUAAUUUACUAUAAUUAUUAUCUUUAUUUUACUUGCAUCACUAUAUCUAACAUCAUCAUUGGCUUAUUAUCUUCCUUUCCAUUGUGCAUUUUUUUAAUCAUUGCUGUAUUUAUCAUGUUAUUACAUCCAUCACUUCUGUUAUUACUACUGUUCUUAAUUUUCUUUAUGCUUGCUAUAUUUUAGGUAUUAAUAUAUGUUAUUAGGGUUAUUAUAUUGCUAUUUUCAUAUUACAUGUUAUCAUUUUUUUGUUAAGUUUCAACCGCCCAAAUUCAUUUUAUUUAAAGAUUUAUCCUCGAUUGUUUUCAAAAUAAAGGCAAUGUUCGAUAUUUAGGAUCCUGGGGAAGAUUAUGCCCUAACUUACUGGGUUCCAAUUUACCUCGUUAAACCUAAAUAACCAAGUACCCUUCUUAAAUCUAAUUGUAUGAAGUUCGAAUAAAAAAACUAUUCUUGGAAUUUAGGAUGUUGCACCCUAACUUACUGGGUGUGGCAUUGCAGUUUUGAGGAUAGGGAUUUCUAAAAUCAAGGCAAUACCUGGCACUUAGGAGUUUUGAAAGAUUGAGCUCUAACUUAUUGAGUUCUAGUUUUUCAUGAGUCCCGAAUGACCAAAUACCCUUCUCUUGAACCUUCAUACAUGAAUUUUAAAAAAAUCAAAGACUAACUUAGUUCCGAAGGUCUGAAGUGUUAGACCCUAACUUAUUGGGUAUGGCAUAUUUCUCCUUCGAAAUGAGUGGGUCUUUACAUUUUAUCCAAUUUAUGUUUUUUUAAGUAAGAAGAUCGUACUCUAAAAUCUUUUUAAGUUUUGACAUCAAGAUAUUAACUAAUCAAAUAAGGUACCAAUUUUUGGGCGUUGCGAGGGUGCUAACCCUUCCUCGUACUUAACCGACUCCCGAGCCCGUUUUCUCAAAUUUAGCAGACCAAAAAUCAUUAUUUUAAUAAGCCCAAAUGUUUUAUUAAAACGAUCAAUUUUAGGGUGGCCCAAUCACACCUCAAAAAGAAUUGGUGGCGACUCCAUUCAUAUUUUUAAAGUCGAUCCCCGUUUUUCAAAUUUUAAAAAUGGUUUCGACAGCUUGGCGACUCCACUGGGGACCUAUAAGAGAGUUAAGCCGUGAUUUGAUUACUUUUUGUCUUUUGUCGAAAGUUGAAUUUGGUUUGGAGUCUACGAUCCUCUUAUUGCAUUUCAUCUGUUUGGUGUUAUGUUUUUCUGGCAUUUUUUUCAAAGUUCUUUUAUAUCUUCUGUCAUGGCAUUGCAUGACCGUUGUGGUCACACCUCUUAAGUGGGAGUGAGAAGCUAUUUCCUUCGUGAGGUUUUCACCUCCGUGCAGGAUAGUGAAUCGCUUUCGGGAUACAUCCGUACCUAUGUCUUCGUGAGGUUUUCACCUCCAUGCAGCCAUAGGGAAAUGUAUCCCCCUGAACUGAACUCGGUCUAUAUGAGCCUAUAAUGGGUGAGGAUCGAGGAAUCUGCUGGUUCAGGUACCUCAACUCUAGAACCAAACCACAUAUAGAGGAACCCUAAGGGCCCACCUUUGGAAGAACUACGCAAACCCUAGUGAUUACCCCCAAUAGGUGCUUAUUUCUAUUUUCUUUACUUUGAGUUAUGUUUCUGAUAUAUGAUACUAACUUGCUGUGUUUUGUUUUGCCAUAUUUGCAUGUCAUUUCACAUUUGAAAGGUGUCAAUUUGUGUUCAAUUUUCUAAAUUAGAAAGCUCGUCAUGGGGGACAAAUUCCUUGAUAAGGUAGAAAAUAAUGCGGCUGUCCGUAAAUGGUCAGAGAUAACACAAUUAGAGAAGGGAGACAGCCUAGCCAAGGGAUACAAAUCUGAGUUAUGGGAUUAUACUCGCAUUAGCGUGACUCAAAAUAAUCAUCAGGAAUUGAAUGAGAUAUGGGAUCAGUGAGAUGAUGAAGCUAAACAAUUAUUCUACUGUAACUAUGGAGAUCUACCGUACCUACUUAAUAUCGAAAUAGACGAACACUUGUUCCAGGCCCUUGCUCAGUAUUGGAACCUUGCAUAUAGCUGCUUCAUGUUUGGGAGGGUGGAUUUAGUACCCACGGUGGAGGAGUAUACAACUUUAUUAAAUUGUCCGAAGGUACAAGUCAAUAAGGCCUAUUCGAGAGUUGCUUAUGUUCCGGCAUUUUCGAAAAAGCUAAUGAAUAUUACUAGAAUAAGUGAACAGUGGGUUACGACAAGAAUCAAGCAGAAAGGGGAGUGUAAGUGCAUCCCAUGGAAGAAUUUGCGAGAUUUGAUCCUAACACAUCCUAAUAUGAAGAAGAAAGUCGACGUAUUUACCUUGAGUAUCUACGGGUUGAUGCUCUUCCCUAGGGUAUUGGGAUAUAUUGAUAAGGCGGUCACGAAUCUAUUCAACCGACUUGACAAGGGAGUCACACUAGUUCCUGCAAUUUUAGCUGAGACAUUCAGGUCCUUGAACGCGUGUAGAAGGACCGACGAAGGCAGAUUUAUAGAGUGUGCACAGUUAUUGUUAGUAUGGUUUCACAGUCAUUUUUGAAAGAUAGACAAAGGUCAUUAUCGAGCUUUCUUUGGGAAUUAUUCCUCAUUAAAGGAGAUAGCAGCUACACCCAGAAGAGAUGACAUAUCGGAAGAAAACUGGAUCGCGCUCUUACGGAAUCUCCAGGGAGAGGACAUUGAGUGGAAAGCACCUUGGUGGAUGCCGAACAAAAUUCUUUUUCGAUGUGGGAGUUUCGAUUGGGUCCCUUUACUUGGGAUCUAGGGAGCCAUUGGAUAUGCUCCAUUGCUCGUGCUUAGGCAAUAUGCAGCAAGACAGUUCAUACUGGUAACCCAUGGGCUUGCUCAAUGCGAAUUUUCGUAUAAAGGAGACUACAAGAAACGGGUUAAAGAGAUUUCUAAUGCUUAGAAUCAGACUCGUCGAGUGGAAGGGUUGGCUGCAGAUCUGAUGACGACCCUUGAGUAUGAUGGAUAGUUGAGUAGACGAGUUAACGACAAUAUCCUUGGGUCGAGUUUAGAGGGUGCUCAACCGAUAGAGGAGUAUCUGUGAGUGGUUCACUCCGAAUUGGAAAUUAUAAAACAGGAUUUUGAGAAGAGAAGUUCAGAGUUGGGGAAAAAGAUAGAGCAACUCGAAGAGGAUAAGGUAUAUCUAAAAUUAGACAUUGACAUCCAGAAAUUAGACGCCGAGAAACUAAGAAAGGGGAAAAAGAAAGCUGAAGAAGACUUGGACAGUCUGAAGAAUGAUUACAAGGAGCUGCAUAUGUCGAUGAGAACUGCUGGGUCGGGAAAAACAUCGAAGCAAUGGCAACAAGAAAUCCAAGAAGAAAAGUCUAAGGCCGAUCAAUGGAAGAGGAGGUUCUGUGAUGCUCAAACACGAGAGGAAGCCCUGAAAAGAACUACAUCAGAGAGCCAAAGCGAAAAUGAGACGUUAAGAGCUCGAAUAACAGAGUUAGAAAAAAUAUUGCAUCAGCAUCAUAGUCGUAACUCUGUAAUGGAAUUAAAGGCUAGCUUAAGUGAGAUCGAGAAUCUGAAGGGGAAGAUAGAAGAACUUGGGGCUACGCUACAGGAUUGUGAACACCGAAUUGAAUCACUGGAAGUAAAUAGUGAGAAACUAGAGGAGCAACUUCACCGGUCUCAGAAUAAGGUUCGAGAUAGAGAUCACCUCAUGAGAGAAGCUAUAGUUCAGAUUCGAGAAGUGGCGGAACAUUUACAAAUCCUGGCCGUCUAAGUUGAUGCAUUAAGUGUAAUAUAUGAGUCAGUAUCGAACCGAGGCUAAGAGCUGGCUGAACUUCUUAAAAAAUUUAGAGCUCUGGGCAUAAGGGCUAGGCCGUAUAUGUAGUCUAUUUUUUAUGUAAAGGAUUUUGUCUUUUAGUAAAGUUAUUCUAAAUAAAAUUGAAUCAGAUUGACACCUUUUUGCAUUCAUGUCAUGCAUUUGCAUUGCAUAGUAUCAUAAACAUUAAGUUGCACAAAAGAACCCUAUUAAUUAGUGAUAAUUUAUCUAGUUAUCCUGGAACAUCGCUACUAUACACGGAGGAAAACAAGGGAUAUGGAUCAGAGGUUAGAAAAAUUAGAACAAAUGCAAAAGGAGAUGCAGGAGCAACUGCAAGCUCAGAUGCAAGAACAGUUGGCUAGGAUCCAGCAGGAGAUGAGGGAUCAAAUGCCGGAGUCCCAAAAAAACAUGCUGGAGUCACAGAACAACAUGAUGACCAGCUGACACAGCUGCUGAAGGGAGGGUCUGACAAAGGAAAAAGCCCUAUGGGUGAUAUUGAGAAUAACAACGAUGACUCUGCUUGUCCUACAAGCUUCGCCCAGUAAACAUUCAAACACAGCCACCAAGGGUGUCUGUUAAUGUUAAACAUCUGUAUCAAGCUAGCACUUCAGCACCGGUAAACUUCCCAACGGGCUCGUGCUCUAACCGUGGAGACAAUAUGGCAAAUCCCACGAUCCCUGACUUCGAUGAGGUUGGAGGGGAAAAAGUAAGGGAGGAGCUCCCAAAGUAGCUCGAGGAUCAGUGCAAAUAGAUAGAGGAGAAGUUCAAGGAGCUAGAAAGUGCUGAUCAUUAUUGCGGAGUUGACGCAAAGGAACUCAGUUUGGUCCCGGACUUAGUACUUCCGCCGAAGUUCAGGAUGCCAGAAUUUGAAAGAUAUAAUGGAACCAGUUGCCCUGAGGCUCACAUUACGAUGUUCUAUCGGAGAAUGACGGGAUAUGUCAACAAUGACCAUUUACUGAUUCACUGUUUUCAGGAUAGUUUGACCGGGGCCACAGCCAAAUGGUACAAUCAGUUGAGCCGUGCUCAGGUCAAAUCAUGGAAAGAUUUGGCACAGGCCUUCAUAAAACAGUAUGGCCAUGUGACUGAUAUAGCACCUGACAGGAUUACAUUACAGAACAUGGAGAAAAAAUCAGGUGAAAGCUUCAGGAAAUACGCCCAGAUGUGGAGGGAAGUCGCUACGCAAGUCCAACCACCACUGCUGGAAAAAGAAACAACUAUGCUGUUUAUUAAUACCUUGAAGGCACCUUUCAUUAAUCAUAUGUUGGGGAGCGCAACUAAGAGUUUCGCAGACAUAAUGUCUGGCGAAAUGAUAAAAAAUGCAAUAAGGUGCGGGAAGAUAGAAACAGGGGAAAGCACGAGAAGGUCAACCCAAAAGAAAAAGGAAAACGAGGUAAGCAUCGUAAGCUCAGGCUAUUCAAAACCUGUCACCGUUAAUCAAUCGAGAACGAUAGUCACAGGCCAGCAGGCCACACUAAGGCGAGAGCCUAACACAAGGCAGAAUACAGAGAGGUUCCAGUUCACUCCUAUACCAGUGAUGUAUAGGGAGCUGUACAAAAAGUUGUUCGACGCACACGUAGUGGCCCCUUUCCACUUAGAACCGUUACAACCUCCAUACCCUAAAUGGUAUGAUGCAAAUGAUUAGUGCGAAUACCACGCAGGGAUUACGGGGCACUCGAUAAAAAAUUGUACCUCGUUUAAAAGGUGCGUAGAAAGGCUUAUCAAAGCAGGUGUUGUAAAAUUUGAUAAUACAUCUGGUAUGAGAAAUCCGUUGCCCAGUCAUACUAAUAAAUGGGUAAACGCGAUAAUUGAGAAUAUGGGAAGGAAAGUCAAGCUGAAUAUCGCAGAGGUGAGAACCCCAUUGAAGCUAGUUUGGAAGGAAAUGCAGAAGAGAGGUUUAGUCCUGCAAGGGUUGGGGGAUAAAAUCCAAGAUACACGGAACUACUAUGAGUUUCAUCAUGAAAAAGAUCAUGAAAUCCAGAAUUGUAUUGAGUUCAGGGCCCUAGUGCAGGGUCUAAUGGAUAAUAAGGAAUUGGAGUUCCUCGAGUCUAUCAAAGAGGUGGAUGUAUGCUCUCUAGGAGGAGAUUUAGGUGAAGAAGGCUGCAAAGCCAGCCAUUCAGUGAUAAUUAUUUCAAAGCCCAGAAUUAGUGAAGUAGAAGCAAGAGUUACACCAAGAGUUAUAAUCCAAAGGCCAGCAGCUUCCCUCUAUAAAGAUAGCUAUAGGGUGCCUUGGAAUUAUAAUUGUAGUAUAGCAGUUGCAGAGAAUGAGGGUUCGAUUAACACGCCAAACACAAAAGCCGAACCAGCAAAAGGGAAACACGUCAUGCUCAAGCAAGAAGUAGAGAGAUCAGAACCACUGGUUAAUGAGCCAGUAAUGGAAAAUGAAGCCAAGGAGUUCUUGAAGUUCCUAAGACACAGCGAAUUUAGUGUUGUGGAACAACUACACCAACAACCGGAUCUCAUAUCAGUAUUAGCUCUGCUGUUAAAUUUGGAGGUCUACCGUAACGCAUUGAUGAAAGUGUUGAACGAAACCUAUGUUACAGAUAACAUUUCGAUUAACAAAUUGGAUCGUAUUGUCGGCAACAUAAGUGCUGACAAUUUCAUCUUCUUCAGCGAUAAUGAGAUACCGCCAGGGGGUAAGGGGUCUACUAAGGCUCUGCAUAUCACUACACGUUGCAAGGGGUAUACGCUACCUGGAGUACUAGUUGAUAAUGGGUCUGCAUUGAAUGUGUUGCCUUGGGCUACGUUAAACCGUUUACCUAUAGACAGUUCCCAUAUGAAGACGUGUCAAAACAUAGUAAGAACAUUUGAUGGCACAGAAAGGAAAGUAAUGGGAAGGAUAGGGGUACCUCUUCAGACUGGCCUAAACGCGUACAAGGUAGAUUUCCUCGUGAUUGAUAUUAAGCCUUCCUAUAACUGUCUAUUAGGAAGACCUUGGAUUCACUCAGCUGGGGCAGUGCCAUCCUCGCUGCACCAGAAGCUAAAGAUGGUUACUGAGGGUCGGCUAAUAACAAUAAAUGCAGAUGAGGAUAUUAUUGCGUCAGUUACCAGUGAUGCACCCUACGUAGAGAAUGACAACGAAGCGGUUGAAUGUUUAUUUCGAUCGUUAGAGUUUGUAAACGCAACGUUUAUAGCUGAAGGAAGUAGGAUUCUGAUACCUAAGAUAUCAGGGGCUACGAAAAUGAGCCUGCAGUUGACAGUUGGGAAAGGGGCAUUACCUGGCAGAGGACUCGGGAGGCACCUCCGUGGAUAAGUUAGAGUGCCAGUCUUGGUUGGCAAGUGGGAUCGCUUCGGUUUAGGAUUCAGGCCAGAUGUAAGCCAAGUGAAGAAAGAGUUUGAAAGGAAACAAGAACAGCGGAGAGCGAGAUUGAGUGGGACAGAAGUCAGGUGAGAACCGAUGAGCUUCCCCCACAUUUUCCAAACAUUUGUAUCUGGAGGGUUUAUUCAUUCUGCACAGGAGAGGAUAAAAGAAGGAAUGGUCGAGGAUGUGAUAAGAAUUUGGAACAUCAACGCCACGUUUGAAGAGGAAGCAAUGGAAAGGAAUUUAUCAGGCAUUUGCCCAUAUGAGUCUGGAAGUGUUUUGGAUAACUGGACUGAGGAAGAAAUUCCUGUAAUCUUUAGAGCUAACACAGAGUAAUAUUCAAAACUCACUUGUUGUCUUCUAGCCUAGGGACAAUAAGAAUCUUUUGCGAAAUAGGCUCAUGUUCAAACAUUAUUAUUUUCAAUAAAAAAUGUAUUUUCAUAUAUCGGUUCGAGUAAUUAUUCUUUCUUUUUUUUCAUUUUAUACACAAUCAUACCAUACAAAGGAAUUAUUCAUUUCGUUUUCUUUGGGUACUCUCUUAUACUCAUAAUAGGCCCCCAGAUGUCAACGUCAUGAGUAAUGCUGAUGCGAGCCCGGAAUCUCCUUUUGAGUGAGACAUGUGCGUUUAGGGAUUUCAAGAUUUUGAAGAGGACGAGGAUUGUGGUUUAUCUCUCGAUUUGUUAAGGAUGGUGGAGCGAGAAGAGGAAUAGAUCCUGCCACACAAAGAGACUACUGAGAUUGUGGCCCUGAAAGAGGGGAAGGAAGUUAAAAUUGGCACUUGCGUUAACGAGAAAACAAGACAGAACCUCAUUGAGCUGUUAUAAGAAUUCAAUAACGUCUUUGCAUGGUCAUACCAGGAUAUGCCUGGUCUAAGUACCGAUAUCGCAAUGCACCGUGUCCCUACAAAAAAGGAGUGCAAGCCAGUUCAGCAGAAGCUCCGAAGGAUGAGACCCGAUGUAGCAAUGAAAAUAAAGGAAGAAGUCAAGAAACAGUUUAAUGCUGGAUUCCUACAGGUGGUCAAUUAUUCAGAAUGGGUAGCCAACGUUGUCCCUGUCCCUAAGAAAGAUGGGAAAGUGCGGAUGUGUGUAGAUUACAGAGAUUUAAACAAGGCCAGCUCAAAGGAUAACUUUCUAUUGCCUCACAUAGACACUCUAGUGGAUAAUACAGCAGGUUAUUCACUGUUCUCCUUCAUGGAUGGGUUCUCCAGGUACAAUCAGAUCAAGAUGCAUCCUGAGGACAUGGAAAAAACCACAUUCAUAACUUUAUGGGGAACGUUUUGCUACAAGGUGAUGCCCUUCGGGUUGAAAAAUGUAGGAGCCACAUAUUAAAGAGCCAUGGUAACUUUGUUCCAUGACAUGAUGUACAAAGAAAUUGAGGUCUACGUUGACGACAUGAUUACAAAAUCCUGAACUGAAGAGGAGCAUGUGCGAGUGUUGAGGAAAUUAUUCCUAAGGUUGAGAAAAUUCCAAUUAAAGCUCAAUCCGUCAAAAUGCACCUUCAGAGCUAGGUCCAGAAAGUUACUCGGCUUCGCAAUCAGUGAGAAGGGAAUAGAAGUCGACCCUGAUAAAGUCAAGGCUAUACAGGAGCUGCCUCCGCCACGAACUCAAAAAGAAGUCCGAGGUUUCCUAGGGAGACUAAACUAUAUUGCAAGGUUUAUUUCGCAACUGACUGAGAAGUGUGACCCCAUAUUCCGUCUUCUUAAAAAGCACAAUCCUGAGGUAUGGGAUGAUGAAUGCCAAAAAACCUUUGAAAAGGUUAAACAAUAUUUGUCUAGUCCCCCAGUGCUAACACCACCAAGCCCUGAUAGACCAUUGAUACUGUAUUUAACAACAUUUGAUAAUUCGAUGAAGUGUGUGCUUGGCCAACACAAUGAGACUGGGAGAAAAGAAAGAGUGAUAUAUUACCUUAGUAAAAAAUUCACUGAGUGCGAAAUAAGGUAUCCGCCAAUUGAGAAGCUAUGCUGUGCUUUGGUUUGGACAACACGAAGGUUGAGGCAAUACAUGUUGUACCAUACAACUUGGCUAAUCUCAAAGCUAGACCCUCUCAAAUACAUGAUGGAGUCAACCGCUUUAAAUGGAAGGAUGGCCCGAUGGCAGAUUCUACUCUCUGAAUUUGACAUAGUCUAUGUAAACCAAAAAGCUGUGAAGGGGAGUGCAAUAGCAGACUUCUUAGCCAGUAGAGCUUUGGAGGACUAUGAACCUUUGAAUUUUAGUUUCCCCAAUGAAGAUCUAAUGUAUGUAGCAAUCGCUGAAGGAGACAUGCCUGAAGAUCAUUCUUGGAAAUUAAAUUUUGACGGAGCAUCAAAUGCCGUUGGAAAUGGAGUUGGGGCAGUACUGAUAUCCCCAAAUAGAGAUCAUUAUCCAUUCACUUGCAAGCUGGAUUUUGACUGCACAAACAACAUGGCAGAAUACGAUGUAUGUAUCAUGGGAAUUCGGGUAGCUAUAGACCGCGAAAUCAAAGUAUUAGAAGUGUAUGUAGAUUCUGCAUUAGUAAUUUAUCAACUUAAAGGCGAGUGGGAAACGAGAGAUCCUAAAUUGAUUAGUUACCAAAAGCUAAUCCUGGAGUUAAUUGAAGAGUUUGAUGAUAUUACCUUUCAUUACCUCCCGCGAGAUGAGAAUCAGAUGGCUGACGCCUUGGCUACACUAGCUUCCAUGAUCAAAGUAAAUUAACAGGAGGAUAUGAAGCCAAUUCAAAUGAGUAUUUGUGAGGCUCCAGCUGACUGUUGUAAUGUCGAUGAAGAGGAAGAGAGAGAUAAUCAUCCUUGGUAUCAUGAUAUUUUACAAUAUGUGAAGAGCAGUGCGUACCCAGAUCAAGCAACCGAAAAUGAUAAAAGAACAUUGAGGAGGUUAGCCAGUGACUAUGUCCUAGACGGUGAGGUCCUAUAUAAGAAGAGAAAGGAUCAGGUGUUGCUAAGAUGUGUUGACGCUGUUGAGGCAAAAAAAUUCUAGAGAAAGUCCAUGAUGGUGUCUGUGGGACACAUGCCAAUGGUUUCACAAUGGCUCGACAAAUCAUGAGAUUCGGAUAUUACUGGUCCACAAUGGAAAGAGAUUGCAUCAAUUAUGCUAAGAAGUGCCAUAAGUGUCAAAUUUAUGGAGACAAGAUCUAUGUGCCUCCUUUACCCCUCCAUGUUUGACUUCCCCAUGACCAUUCUCAAUGUGGGGCAUGGACGUCAUUGGGCCGAUUUCGCCAAAGGCUUUCAACGGACAUCAAUUCAUUUUUGUGGUUAUUGACUACUUUACCAAAUGGGUAGAGGCUUCUUCGUACUCUAAUGUCACAAAGUCGGUGGUCAGCAAGUUCCUGAAGAAGGAGAUCGUAUGUCGUUAUGGUAUGCCAGAAAGAAUUGUAUCUGAUAACGCGUUGAAUCUGGACAAUAGCGCAAUAGUAGAAGUCUGCAGUCGGUUCAACAUUAAACAUCACAACUCGUCACCAUACCACCCGAAAAUGAAUGGGACGGUUGAGGCAACUAAUAAGAAUAUCAAGAAGAUUAUGGGGAAGACGGCGGAGACCUACAAAGAUUGGCAUGAAAAGCUCUCAUUUGCCCUUUAUGCUUAUCGGACAUCUGUCAGAACUUCUACAGGGGCAACACCUUUCUCAUUGGUUUAUGGGAUGGAGGCAGUUUUACCUAUUGAGGUCGAAAUCCCUUCCCUCCGAGUUUUAUCAGAGCUGAAGAGAAGAGGCUGAAGGCUAUUCGUCAUGGUCAAAUGUACCAGAGGAGAAUGAUGCGAGCCUACAACAAAAAAUUUCGCCCCAAGGUGUUCCAUGAUGGGGAAAUGGAUGUCAAAUUAGGAAGGACCCUAUGUGGUAAAAAAGGCUUUCUCUGGAGAGGCAUUGAUACUAGCAGAGAUGGAUGGCAAGAGCUUGCCUAACCCGAUAAAUUUGGAUUUUGUCAAAAGAUAUUUUGCUUGAAGCAGUUGAGGUGAAAACCAGUAAAGGGCGCCAAAAAAAAAGAGAAGCCAAGGUGAAAACCCGUAAAAGGGCAUCUUGAGACCAAAGGGGUUUUGAAUUGAAAAGCCGCAAAGGGCAAUUCAAAUUUUGAUCCAAACUGGGGCAAGCGGCAAUCUCACUACACUUGAAUCGACAAUGAGGAGAUAAGCUACAUCUUGGGGCAUCAACAAAAUGCUAUAGAUCCCUUGAGCGCGUACCAAGUUUAAAAGGGUCCUCGAGGAGUUCGUACAGGGAAGCUCAAACUGCGAAAUUUGGGGCACCUAUUCUAUUCCUUUUUAUCCGUUUUUGUAUCUCAAACAAUGUAUGCUUUCUUUGUUGAUACAUCUUUCGCAAAUUUUGACUCGAAUAAAUUUCAGUUCUACCUAUCAUUAUAAUCUUUUUCGAGUAUUUUUAUUAAAAUAAUGAUUAAUAAACUAAUGAUGCUCUUAGAAGAAGGUUUUGCAUAUUACUCUGAAAGGUUUCUAAACAGUACGAGAACCUGAGACAGGACAAUUAUUUAGAACUCACCGAGCUUAAAACGUGUGAGAAAUAAGGAAUUAACCGCAUCUCCAAGUCCUCUUCUACCAAGCUGAACAAGAAGGCAUAUGUCAGGGAUGUUACCUUAGUAAACAACGAGCGAUGACAGCCCAAAAAUUAAAAUGGAUCAUUCUCAUGACAUUUUGCAUUUUGUGCAUUUAACAUCCAUAAUACAUGUAGUUAGGAGCAUUUAAUUCAUAUUAAUCAUGGCAUCCUAAUCAUCUAGCAUAAGCAUAUCACUCUUCUACAGAUGGAUUCCUUAGUGGACAAUGUAGCAGGAUUACAGAUAUCAUCAGCCUUAUCUUCACUGAGCAGGAGUGGAGCAGGCUAUAUACUAGAUAUUAUCUUCGCUGAGCAGGAGCGGAGCAGAUCAAAUUUUGGUGAAUCUUAUCUCCAUGUAUCGGCAAUGGAGCAGAUUUCAGCCACCAGCCUUAUCUUCACUGAGCAGGAGUGGAGCAGGCUAAAUACCAGAUCUUAUCUUCACUGAGCAGAAAUGAAGCAGAUCAAAUUUUGGCAAGUCUUAUCUCCAUAUAUCGGCAAUGGAGCAGAUUUCAGCCACCAGCCUUAUCUUCACUGAGCAGGAGUGGAGCAGGCUAUAUACUAGAUCUUAUCUUCGCUGAGCAGGAGCGGAGCAGAUCAAAUUUUGGUGAAUCUUAUCUCUAUAUAUCUGCAAUGGAGCAGAUUUCAGUCACCAGCCUUAUCUUCAUUAAGCAGGAGUGGAGCAGGCUAAACAUACCGGAUCUUAUCUUUACUGAGCAGGAGUAAAGCAGAUCAAAUUACAGCAGAUCACAUCUCCGUGAAGCAGCAACGGAGCGUUUUGAAGUAAUAAGGUACGGUGGGUUGUGGCAAUGAAGACAAGACUCAGCCAGCCCAGACAAAUUUGGCUCUUCUAAAAUCUUUGCUCUAUCCUCGUUACAUGAUAAUGAGCAAAGAAGGGCAGCUGUAGGACCAAAUUUAUGCCCGGGCCCAAAGCUCCCAAGACCCAUUUACAUCUAAAACACAGGCCCAAAAAUAAACCCAAACAAGGCCCAAACAAACAGAAACCUAAAGCUGUUGCUUGAGCCCUCGCGUCGCACGCCUCUCACCAGCGUCCCACUCCACCAUCCACCGUACCUUCGAGACGUGCGCUACCAACAAUCCCUCUUUGUCACGCCUCGUGCUUCCGAGAUAUCCACAACAACACCUGUAACAGGAAGCAAACAGAUAGCAACCAAUAGAAGAUUUUAUUUGUUUUUCUAGGCUAUAAAAGCCAUUCUAAACAAUGUAAAAGGGUCGGUUUUUUUUACUACAAAAAUCAGAGAGAAAUAUACGAAAACAGCAAGUUUUGAGUAAAAACUUUCAUACAUUCGAAUAGAAUAAAGUGGUUACAAUAUUUUCUUUUAGUUUUUUAAUCUUUAGAGCUUUUUGUGGAUCUAUCUUGUAUUUUUGAAAAACAAAGUUUAAAAAAAUAAAAAUAUUUUAGGAGGGCCUUACCUGGUUUCUGACGGUCGCCGAUGAGCGCGCAGGGGAGGGGAAGCGCUGCGAUGAUAGACGCUGCGCCCUAGCAGAAGGAGAAAGGGGGCCGAACCCCUUGGUUUUCUUUUUUGAAUUCGGCAGAAUGGGAUUAAAGAAAUGGGGGGGGGGGGGUUCUUU